ACCAAGUUCGUCUCAGAUUAGAAUUGAAAUGGAAGAACACAUGCAACUCUUUUGUGCAAUGGGUUAACUGGACGCUGAUCUUCGUGGUAUUCUAUUCUAUGAAUCUGCCUUGACCGGUACUGUUGCCAAACGGCCCUUUUAACAUUUUCGACGAACCUAUCCCCUCUGUUCCCUUUCCUCUUUGCCUCCGCUCUCAGGUUUUCCUCUCUCUCUCUCUCUCUCUCUCUCUCUGACCUCUGCACCCUCGGACAUGACCGGACAUGGAUUUUCUUACAGGAGCCAGGGCGAACCAACCAAACGGGCCGCCAGUGUGCAGAAAAUCAAAGGUAUUUCUGCAACAUUGCGACUUUUUCUAAGGAAGUUCUGCAAUUUUUAUCCUGUCAGGGAAUUAGUGCACCAGGGCCAGAAGCAUUUGUCAUGACCUGUUCCACACUGACUUGCCAGCGUUUAUGUUUGGAAUCUGGAUGAACAAUGCCAAGUAAGGUGUUAACUUUUGUGUUCUUAAUUGAUAUCUCUUUGUUUUGGCUAUUGGUGUUCUGUCCAUAUAGAUUGUUUAGAGAGAAGAGGGCUUACAUUUAAUACCCUAAUUUGAAUAGUAUAUGCCAAAGUAUGUUGCAUUUGAUGAAUGAAAUUUUCUAUCCUUUCAAGCCGUUUGUCAACGAAAAAGAACAUACUUUCUGCGCAACCAAAAAAGGUAAAUCUGUCAUUAUAAAUGGUGAUUCUAGAAAGCAAGGCAUACAACCAAGAAACAGGAGAUAGAUGCCCCAUUCCAAGAGAUUUUAGAGGACACUUUCAGUAGUUUGCAGCAAUUAGGAUGAUGAAGAUAGAGGAGUUAGGCUAAAUAGAAGCCGUGUACUACCAAAAGUUUUGUGGAUUUCAGCACUGACACGAGAUGCAACUACCUUCCUGGCUAGAUAAAAGGUUAUAAGUAAGAUGUUAUAUGCAGGAUAAGGUCAUUGCUUUUAAUUGUAAGCACGUGUCAUCUAUGUGGACAUAUCAGCAUGAGAUGAUUGCACCAAGCAUGUGCCCACCUUUCAUUCUAAGCAAAGUAUUGUUGGGGAGCUCAUUGUUUAAAGAGAAGGGAUGGUUCAUGUAAUAAAGAUACAAAUAAUAGUUUUUCUUAUAAAAUCAACUAGAAGGAGACAUGUCACUGACCAAUAGUGGCAUCUGAAUCUGUCUUUGUGCCUGAAACCUUUUGGGUGAUAAGCCCCUGGCCAUAUUAUUACCAAAAUGCAGAAAAAAGGACCUCUAGGAAAAGAUGGAGGAUCCCAUUGUGCGAGAAGACAGAGGAGAUUUGUUCAUCAACCAACCUUUUCCAGAUUGAUUCCAUUAAAGCAAGAGGUUCAUUUGUCCUGGAAAGUUGUCAAAGAAAGUAAGUUAUUUAGAAGAAUUGCAGCUAGCCACAACCAUGCCAAAUGGCUAUUGAUAGGACAUUGAUAGGAUAUAUGAUGUAGCCAUCAAAGUGCCACUUUGAACUAUUGAGACCAAGGCCUGUGAAUGAAAGCCACCGUAUCUGGUGGUAUCUUCCAAAUUUGGGUAGAUUUGUCUGCAGUGAGAUUCUGUCCUCUCUCGCGCAGCUGAAUGCACCACAAGGGGCCUUCUGUUAUGAAUAGAUUGACCUGAGACUAUGAGAUAGGCUAGCUUCUUAGCCACCCCAUACCCCCCCUCCCUGCAAUUGAAGGAGGUAAGCUUUUGGUGUCACAUUUUGUCAUCACUGGAACUCCCUGAAGAAAUGUCUGGGUAUGUUUUCUUUCAUACUUUUGGAAAGCAUUCUUAAGCAUUUUAUGGUUUUAGAAGGAAGACGAUCUAUCUUAUCUAUUUAUUUGAUAUUAUGUCAUAGUGAUUGUGAGCAGCAUACUUGAUGAGAAGUGCACACAACUCCCAAAAUUUUUGCAACAUAAGACAUGUUGAGUAAGUGAUUCUUUUAAUCACAUAAAGAGGAAUUCUUGAAGCAAUUCUGACAAAGUGACUGACUUCUUGGAACUUAUUACUAAUGAUAAUCGGCAGAGUUAUCUUCUUGUCAAACAUUGCUGAUUUAUUCAUGUGGCCAUCACUGAUUGCAGGUUUCAUUGGAGUGUUUCAAUUGAUUUUGGGGCCUGGUUGUCAUCACCACUUUUUGCUGUAUAAUAACUUUGUCCUAUGUGGCUUGCUAGUUUUAGACCAUGUUCAGUUGUGGAUCUGUUGUUAUUUAAGUAGCUUUGCUUUUAGAUCUUGAACAGGAUCCAGCCUUAAUUUCUUCUUCAUUCUAUGUGAAGGUGCGAGAGGCUCUGUUGGCACAAACCUAUCAUCUGUCUAUUGCACAUCAACUUGUCCAAAGACCGCCCAGCACUUUCCCAUGAAAAAAAACCCAACCGAAGACAUGGGGGUACAUCCAAUUUUGUGAAAUUUCUGAUAUGAUGUACACAAAGAAACAUGGACAGCAGUAAAUUGAAAUAUCCAUAUACAUAUGCUAUCAUUGAAGAGGAGGAAACAAACAUUGAAAGAGUGGAGUAGUCAUAUUUCUCAAAUUUGAAGGAAAUUUUAUAAAAUAUACAAUUAGGAACAUCAUCUUUUUAUCAGGAGCUAAGGCUUUAAACAAGUUAUUUCAUGAGGAAAAAAUUUCUAUGAUAUUUUUUCAAAAGAAGAUGUCCUAUGUCAUAGAGGUGUCAUACAGAAUAAUUCAAGUUAGUGCUUGCAGAAGAGAUAAGACUGACAACUUCAUUCAACUGAUAACCUUGACCGGAGGAAUGCUGUUGUACAUUGUGCACAUUCAUGAGUACCGUUGUCCCUGUUUUCUUGUAGUUUUGCUGUAUAUCCUUUCCUGACAGAUAUUUCCUUCAAGAUUGCUUGUCAUCCCAAAUGGUAAUAAUCUGUUAUACAAGAAAAUUAUCAUGAUCACUUAGGAGUCUUUUUUCUUUUUUCCCCUUUUUACGCGAGGAAGCUGCAAUGGCAUUGAGACUUAGUUGCAGAGUUGCACCGUAUAACCCCUUGGCUAGUGCGCUCAAGGCCUAUAUGUGUUUUGGUGGGUUACUCAUGGGCUUUGUUCCUGAAAGCUGAAGCUCUUCCAACUGCACCAAACCCCGUUGGGCCAACUGUGAUCUGUUACUUGAUACUUAUGCAUUUAAACUGCUUCUAUCCAUCGUUGGCAUCUCAGUUGUCAAACAAAAGGAUGAACUUCUGAGUUUCUGGAUCAAGGAUGAUAUUUAUCGUUUCCCUUGAGACAAACCAUUUCUUUCUGUUGUUUUAUGUUUGUUUUGCAUCAUGGAACAGGUUGGCAAAUGGCAGCCUUCCAUUAACUUAUAGAAGGUUUCCUUUUCUCUCUCUGCUGUUCUGUUUGAUCUAAAAGUUAUUUUUCAAAAAUGUUCUUUACUGUUGCGGGCAUACAGUGAGCUAGAGAACAAUGUCGCAUAUUGCUCAUAGUAUCUGAUUCCUCUCUAAUUACCUGAAAUGCCCCCUCAGGGUGAUUCACAAGUUCCAAAUGGUGUCUGGAAACAGCUGGCUGUGUUAGAGUUCUGUCCUUGAAAGUCAUGAUCUCAAAUGCAACAAGGGGCCAAUCAGAAGGUUAUGUGGCCCACUGAUAUGUUAUGGUGUUAUAUGCCUAUCUUUGGUGCAGCGGUGCAAUCUCAGAUUAUGUAUGAAACAGCUCAGGCUGUGUGGACUAUUGAUCUAUAUCUGGCACCCGCUAACAAAAAUGGGUUCUCUAUAUUCAAAAAAGAGCAUAUGUAACCUUUUCUAGUGGGAUCAUUCUAGCAGCAUUGCCCACCUGGACCCUAAAACAUGUCUGGAAAGGUUUCAGGUCGUGGAGGGAACCGGCCAAUUCCAGCCUGUAUGUAGCUUUUUGCUGCUCCACGUUGACACGCAUUGUUUUUCUAGUAGCGUGUGUGCAACUUGGUUUCUUUAUUGGAUGUAUAUUUUUCUUAUCAAUGCUAUUGCCAUUGGCCAUCGUCAAGUGAUCUGAAAGUUGACGGAAGUUGUAACUAUUGUUCGAGGAAAAGUGUCUCAGGCGUAUGUAAAGAAACUGCAGACAAUUAUUGGUGGUGCUAUGUCAUUGAUGUUCUUUUUA
Molecule: RNA transcript, 4042 nt
Organism: Nymphaea colorata (pocket water lily)
Lineage: Eukaryota; Viridiplantae; Streptophyta; Magnoliopsida; Nymphaeales; Nymphaeaceae
Exons: 3
Source: RefSeq, a predicted model, not a curated record